UGGGGAAUCUUGCGCAAUGGGCGAAAGCCUGACGCAGCGACGCCGCGUGAGUGAUGAAGGCCUUAGGGUUGUAAAGCUCUGUGGAGAGGGACGAAUAAGUGUUGGCUAAUAUCCAGCAUGAUGACGGUACCUCUUUAGCAAGCACCGGCUAACUCUGUGCCAGCAGCCGCGGUAAGACAGAGGGUGCAAACGUUGUUCGGAAUUACUGGGCGUAAAGCGCGUGUAGGCUGUCUUGCAAGUCGGGUGUGAAAGCCCGGGGCUCAACCCCGGAAGUGCACUCGAAACUGCAGGACUAGAAUCCUGGAGAGGGAGGCGGAAUUCUGGGUGUAGAGGUGAAAUUCGUAGAUAUCCAGAGGAACACCAGUGGCGAAGGCGGCCUCCUGGACAGUGAUUGACGCUGAGACGCGAAAGCGUGGGGAGCAAACAGG
This 428-nucleotide ribosomal RNA is filed under the name uncultured bacterium. RNAcentral's name for it is "bacterial SSU rRNA". It matches the Rfam family "Bacterial small subunit ribosomal RNA", at positions 355 to 776 of the family's 1533-position model. The record is from RNAcentral.